CUACAUAUUAUGCACAAAAUUUACCCUUAUAGAAAUAUUGAAGGCCUAUGAACCAUUGCCUCUCUUUAACAGAUAUAUAAAUUGUUGGCUUCCAAGUUCAUUGACCAUAUAACAUAAUAAAAGAGAUACAAACAAUGCCCGUGAGAAAUGGCACACUAUUCCUGUUCUGUACUACUCUCAAGUUCCCUCUUUCAAAACUGAAGGAGCAACGCCUUGAUGUAAAAGCACACCAAUAUUGAAGCAAUAAUGCUCCUGAAUAAUAUGCUUCACUGGCAGAAGCUUGUCACCGUGGUAACACAACAACAUCAGGCAACAUUGUUUUGUUCCUUUGUCCAUGAAAAUUCUUAAGAUAAAAUAUGAUGUUAAAAUUAACAAAACAACAAAAUGAGGCAUUUCUUUGAAUCAUACUUAUUUGUAACAGGUAAACAACAGCAUAUUUUUAUUCAUAUUUUUAAAACUGUGUAAAAACAUCAACUUGACCCUAUGUGAUCUUAGAGAAAUGGGAUGAACUUUUAACAACUCAUCUGCUACAUUUCUAAAUGGGCACAACUUGUUAAGAGAUGAGAAAUCUGCUAAGAGAGCAGUGAUGUCGUUGUCAGAAGUGGUCAAAGGAGCAGGGAAAACAAAGUACAUCCCAGCAGAUGAAGGAAAAAGAGCUAUGGAAAAAGAUGAAGGAAAAUGAGCUGGAACAAGUGAACCUGCCAGAGGUGUAUGAGAAGUACUUGGAAAAAAGCUGAGGUCAUUCUAGACAAGGCAACAGCCAGCAGACCCCAAAACAUGUGAGAGAACACAGCCAAGAUCAGUUCAUCUCAGCCCAGAUCAGCCCAGUACAUAAUGCCAACCUAAUAUAUAGAUUUGUGAGGAAUAAUAAAAGGUGGUUGUUUUAAACGA
Herpailurus yagouaroundi (jaguarundi) is the source of this 891-nucleotide long non-coding RNA. RefSeq lists it as uncharacterized. Lineage: Eukaryota; Metazoa; Chordata; Mammalia; Carnivora; Felidae. The record is from RefSeq and is a predicted model, not a curated record. The transcript is spliced from 2 exons.